GUAGGGAAUAUUGGGCAAUGGUCGGAAGACUGACCCAGCCAUGCCGCGUGCAGGAAGACGGCCCUCUGGGUUGUAAACUGCUUUUAUCUGGGAAGAAAAAGGCCAUGCGUGGCAAAUUGCCGGUACCAGAUGAAUAAGCACCGGCUAACUCCGUGCCAGCAGCCGCGGUAAUACGGAGGGUGCGAGCGUAGUCCGGCUUUAUUGGGUUUAAAGGGUGCGUAGGCGGCUGAUUAAGUCAGCGGUGAAAGACUUCGGCUUAACCGGAGCAGUGCCGUUGAUACUGGUUGGCUUGAGUGUCGGAGGGGUACAUGGAAUUGAUGGUGUAGCGGUGAAAUGCAUAGAUACCAUCAGGAACACCGAUAGCGAAGGCAUUGUACUGGCCGACAACUGACGCUGAUGCACGAAAGUGUGGGGAGCAAACAGGAUUAGAUACCCUUGUAGUCC
This 444-nucleotide ribosomal RNA is filed under the name uncultured bacterium. Its description in RNAcentral is "partial 16S ribosomal RNA". It matches the Rfam family "Bacterial small subunit ribosomal RNA", at positions 354 to 796 of the family's 1533-position model. The record is from RNAcentral.